GGCUCAGGAUGAACGCUAGCUACAGGCCUAACACAUGCAAGUCGAGGGGCAGCAUGUCGGUAGCUUGCUACCGGCGAUGGCGACCGGCGAAGUGGGUGAGUCACGCGUGUCCAACCUGCCCCGUGCCCGGGCACACGCCCUUGGAAAUGAGGAUUAACGCCCGAUAUGUGCCGUUUCCGCAUGGCGGCGGCAUGAAACGAGACACGGGAUGGGGAUGCGUCCGAUUAGCUUGUUGGCGGGGUAACGGCCCACCAAGGCGACGAUCGGUAGGGGUUCUGAGAGGAAGGUCCCCCACAUUGGAACUGAGACACGGUCCAAACUCCUACGGGAGGCAGCAGUGAGGAAUAUUGGUCAAUGGGCGAGAGCCUGAACCAGCCAAGUAGCGUGCAGGACGACGGCCCUAUGGGUUGUAAACUGUCUUUUAUAUGGGGAUAAAGUGAGUUACGUGUAGCUUAUUGCAGGUACCAUAUGAAUAAGGACCGGCUAAUUCCGUG
Molecule: ribosomal RNA, 494 nt
Filed under: uncultured bacterium
Lineage: Bacteria
Description: bacterial SSU rRNA
Rfam family: Bacterial small subunit ribosomal RNA
Source: RNAcentral